UGCUGCUGCUGAGCACAACCCGGGCAGACUGUAUACUGUAGUUCUCCGCCGUCCUCCUAAUAACUCCCAUGGAGGGAAUCAUCAGGGUGUGUCUCACUGAACUUCAGAGAGAGGACAACAUCUCCUAACAUGGAGGAGAAUGAGAGUGAAGACAGGUAUGGCCUCACAAGUCUGGAUCUACCCACCACACAUUUAUCAAACCCAGACUAGUGCCCUUUGCAGCGUGAAGAAAGUCAAAGUGGAGCCCAGCAGCUGUGUGUACCAUGAGAGAGCCCAACCGCGGACUUCUCUGAACGGCAGAACCCUUGGCAUAGCGCACCCGAUCAGACUCGCUCCCUCCUUUGCGACCCGAGACUUGGCAGUGGGCGACAGAACGCGUGGCGGCGGGCAGGAGUUCCCUGUACAGACGGUGGCCGUGCGUGGGGUACGGAGAAAGCAGAACGGAACAGGAGGAACAGGCCCGGAGGAGGCCCAGCAGCCCCAGGACACAGGGCCCGUCUCCUGGCAGGGCAAGGGGCAGGAGCAGACGGACAGAGACAGGGGAGGCAGCAGUAGUGGAGCGACAGGAGGAGGGGGAAGGGGGGAGGAAGGUAGAGGAGGAGGUAGGAAGGAAGAGACAGAAGGUGACUGGGAAGAGGGUGAUUGUGGAGGUUUGAACUUGGCCGACAGCGCUCAGCGAUGUGGGCUGAAACGUAAGAGCGAGGAGCUUGAUAACCGCGGGAGCACCAUGCAGAUAGUGGAGGACCUGUCCAUGUUGCCAGCCAUGAUGCAAACGACCAAUGGGGGGAAUCCAGCUGGGUUGCCCACGGCUGUAGGGGGCGGAGGAGGACCCCCAACCAAACAGGGAGCGGUGGGCGGAGCAGGAGGGGGUGAUGGGGACUACCAGCUGGUGCAGCACGAGGUCCUGUGCUCCAUGAAGAACACGUACGAGGUGCUGGACUUCCUGGGCCGCGGCACCUUCGGACAGGUGGUAAAGUGCUGGAAGAGGGGUACUGGGGAGGUGGUGGCGGUGAAGAUCCUGAAGAACCACCCGUCAUACGCGCGCCAGGGCCAGAUAGAGGUGGGCAUUCUAGCCCGGCUGAGCGGGGAGAACGCGGAUGAGCACAACCUGGUGCGGGCCUUCGAGUGCUUCCAGCACCGCAGCCACACAUGCCUGGUGUUUGAGAUGCUGGAGCAGAACCUCUAUGACUUCCUCAAGCAGAACAAGUUCAGCCCGCUGCCACUGAAGGUGAUCCGACCCGUGCUGCAGCAGGUGGCCACGGCCCUGAGGAAGUUGAAGACCAUGGGCCUGAUCCACGCUGACCUAAAGCCGGAGAACAUUAUGCUGGUGGACCCUGUCAGGCAGCCCUACAGGGUGAAGGUGAUAGACUUUGGCUCAGCCAGCCACGUGUCCAAGGCUGUGUGCUCCACAUACCUCCAGUCCCGGUACUACAGGGCUCCAGAGAUCAUCCUGGGCCUGCCCUUCUGUGAAGCUAUCGACAUGUGGUCCCUGGGCUGUGUGAUCGCUGAGCUCUUCCUGGGCUGGCCUCUCUACCCAGGAGCCCUGGAGUACGACCAGGUAAUGAAGUGUAUUGUUACAUUACUGUACACCCUCCUCCCACCAUGGCGUUCUGACACUGUGGCAGGCCCACAGAGACUGGGAGAAUGGGGGAAGGUGCGUCCCCAUGGCAACCAAUACAGCUCUAUGAUGCCCCACCACCAUCAGCCGUUCUUAACCAACCAGAUGACCAUGUCUGCCCACCAGCCAAUCAGCAUAGGCAUCGCACACGUGGUGUGGCCACAGCCCUCUGCAAACAAGAGAAACAAGCCCUGCUUUAACAGAGGCAGCAAUUUCACCUACAACACCAACACCCAAAACUCAGCAUGCCAGUCCCCAAAGAUGGCCGACACCACGAGGAAUGUCCCAGAGGAUAGAUUCCCAGAGGCGGGGCGAGCUGCACAGCUGGAACCUGAACCGGAGCAGGUGGAGGAGCCUAGCUGCUGUAAGGCAGGUUCAGACUCUGAAGAGCAGUCUGUCUCUUAUAAGCAGCGGCAGGCCAUGGUGAUGUCUGAUCUGGCCAGCCCCACUGUUACUGUCAUUAGUAUCAGCAGUGAUGAGGAAGAGGAGGAGGAAGAGAGAACACGGAGACACUCACUGGGGGAGUGUAAGGGCAGUGCUGAGUGUGAGGCGUGUCAGAGCACAGUGAGUAUGGAGAGAGUAUGUUCCCUCAGCAGUCCAGACAGCACCCUCAGCACCAGCUCCUCUGCCUCAGCCCAGUCCAGCACCUCACCCUGCAAACGCCCCAACAGUAUGUCAGAUGACGAGCAGGAGAGUGGUUGUGACAUUGUGGACGGCUCGCCUUCCCCCGACUCCUCUGGCCCUAGCAACAGCCCCUUCACCGAACAACGCUACAUCGCCGAUGGCAACCAGAACCGCGGGCCCCGUGUAGCGUGCGUCGCCCCGGUAACGGAGCCCAGAAAGCCGGCGGUGCGCACCAUGGUGGUGCCGCCAAUGAGGUUGCAGAAUAACAACCCCCACCCACACAUCAACGAGAUGCUAGGCAACACCAUCUUAGAGUCUUUCCAGUUCAAAGGGCGAGGUAUCCCGGGCCGUCAACCGCACCACUCCAUCCCCCUCCUCAACCGGCCACAGAAGAUCACUGCAUUCCAGCACCAGCAACAGCAGCCCAUGGGCUUUGGACAGCUCCAGCAUUACGGCUCCUGCCACCAGGAAUGGAAUGGAAACUAUGCCCACCGGCGCCCGCAGGCUUACAUCCCCCCCACUAUGCAUGGGCACUCCUUUACCCUACCCCACGGCAGCCCCAACCACACUUCAGGCCCCCGCCAUCACCCCCACGGCCAGCAUACUCUUCUGUCCUACCCCCCCCUGGGCCCCUGGUCACAGCAGCCCCUGUGGCCCACAUCCUGGCCUCCCCCGGGGCUUCACGGCCCGUCCUGCAGCCCGCCUACAGCAUCUCUCACCCGGGUGGUAUCGUCCACCAGGUCACUGUGGGCAUCAACCCCCGGCUGCUGCCCUCGCCCACUAUCCACCCCCAGGGCCAGUUCAAGGCCCUCUUCCCCCCGCAUCCCUACAUGGCCUCGCCUGCCUACGCCACCUUCCCUCUCAGCCCCACCAAACUCAACCAGUACCCCUACAUCUGACAAGGUGCCGGAGCGGCCCACCCUCCAGAUGCACCUCGCGCCCCCCGGGGGCCAAGCGAGCAGGAGGGGCCGCCUUCUCAGAAUACACAACAAACAACCACAACAUGGUUUUCAUGUCCAGAGCCAUGGCACAACCACAGAGAAACAAGCUAUUUUUAUCAAUCAUGUAGACUUGGGUGCAAUUGAAAUAUGAGCUAUAAAAAAUUUAAUCACAAAGUUUGGGUGGAGGAUGGAGAAAUGGAGGAUGAGGAGGGGGGCAAGGAAGGAAGGAAGGAUGGAAGGAUGGAAUGAUUGAAUGUAGAUAAGUAACUCACUCUCUGUGUUUUGCACAUUUAAUAUACCUUCACAUUAGCUCUUCUACCAAUACUCCUCAAAAAACAGGUGACUAAUCGGGUGGCGUUGCUAGGUCAGACCUUAUCCCAGCUAUUUUUCUAUAUUGCCUUCUGAACGUGUGCAAGACACAUCCACAUUUGUAAAGCCAUCCCAGUCUCUAGCUCGAUAGGCCGACAGGUGCACAUGUUGUCCACGGUGUGUGUCGUACCGCGUUUGAAGUAUUUGUACCUUUUCUCAGUGUCUUUGGUGUUUUAAAAAUGUGGAGUCACUUAACCGAUUUAAAGUAGGGUUGUUGCUCCUCAAGCUGCAUGUGAUCUUGCAUGAGCAGAUCAAAAUGUAAACAGGAAGUUGAUACGUUAGACGUCGCUCUUGUUGUUGGCGUCACGAGACUCGCUGCAUCGUAUACUUGUCCCCAGCCAUAGUGCCUUAUAUAUUUGAGGUGGUUGAUGUUACUACUUAUAUAUAAAUAUAUCCAUGAAUACAUUAAUGUACUGGACUGCAGCACUUGAAGGUCCUACCAGUCCAUGCAUCCUGUGUGUGGAUUUAUAUCCAUGAAUACAUUAAUGUACUGGACUGCAGCACUUGAAGGUCCUACCAGUCCAUGCAUCCUGUGUGUGGAUUUAUAUCCAUGAAUACAUUAAUGUACUGGACUGCAGCACUUGAAGGUCCUACCAGUCCAUGCAUCCUGUGUGUGGAUUUAUAUCCAUGAAUACAUUAAUGUACUGGACUGCAGCACUUGAAGGUCCUACCAGUCCAUGCAUCCUGUGUGUGGAUUUAUAUCCAUGAAUACAUUAAUGUACUGGACUGCAGCACUUGAAGGUCCUACCAGUCCAUGCAUCCUGUGUGUGGAUAUAUAUCCCUGCACAGCCUGCAUGGACGUGAGAUAUCGCUGAUAGCGGUGCUUAUGGUUUGGAUUCGGUGUAUAUUUCAGUGUGUAGUGAGUUACUCUUUUGUUCCUUAGAGAAGGACGACGUGCUUUGCUGUAGCAGAUGCUCGCUGGUCCGUUAUUAAAUGCUCCUUUUCUGUCAUCGUCCUCCCCCCUGAAUGAACUAGUGGACAAAGAGCAAGCAUUGAAUAUUUGCUUAAUAUUUCAUAAUCAAUUUCUAUUUAGUGAAACUCUUACUACUAACAGUAUUUGUACUGUUCGAUGAAACUGCAAUACAAUCUCUAAAUAGACGUUGAUUUGUAUUUUUUUGUCUUUGUAUUUAAAAAAGAGACGUGUUUGAGUUUGUUUUUCUGUUUUCUAUCUGCGUUACCAGUGUGGUGGGCUUUGACUAGCUGAGGACGACAUGCUAAUUCAUUAACAGUAUGGAUUCUUCUAAGCCUGAGCAGACCAUGCAGUAUUGGACACACACACACACACACAUACAUACACACACAUAUAUAUACAUAUACAUGAGCUAGUCUACUUAGUGCAGACGCUUAAUAAGGUGUGAGUUUGUCGCGUGCAAUUCUCUCAUUUAUGCAUGUGACAAAGUUAACUUUUUUCCCUUUACAUUAUACCAUUUGUUUAAGGUUUAUUGGUGUUGACUGCUUAUUUUCUACAUUCCGUCAGGGAGAAUAUAUAUAUAUAUAUGCUGUGUGCAUUUGUUUUUGCUAGUUAUGUGCGUUAAGUUUUUUGUCUUUUCAAAUGAAGUUGCUUGUGCAGCACCAAAGACUGUAAUUCAUUUCCUGAGCAAGGUAGCUAGAUAUAUUCUGUUUUUACACAAUAGACCUCUUAUCUAGUAUACUAUAGUCGUAGAGCUGGGGUUACAUCUCAAAAAAUGGUAUUUAAAAAUAUAUAAAAAGAUUUAUAAUACAUGGCUAUGGUUAUGUUGAGCUUUUUCCGGCGAUUUCAAUAAGCCAAGACAUUUUUGUUGAAUGUAUCAUAGAUACGCUGCUAUAUGAUCCACAGCUGUGAAAUUAGCUGAAUUAGUUCAAAACUAGCGUUCCUAUUUUUGUAUAGGUCCCUAAUGAUCUGAAAUAGAAGUGGUUUUGAUUUUUGUGGGUUUUUCUGCGUUCAUGUUUGAAGCGUCAUUGUAACUACUGUAUUGCUGAUGGACGUUAGUUGCAUUCGUUCUGGUUUUGGGGGUCUGGGUGUUUUUGCAGUAUUUUAUCCUUAUUAACCGUUUUGGGCUCGUCACUGCAUAUAAAUGGAUGUAUCGAUGUCAUUUCAUUUUUGUAUGUUUUCAUAUUGCCGUUUUGUAAACAUGUAAAACUAUAGCUUGCAAGAUUGAUUUAACUUUCUUCAUUAUGGUAGUAAUUUGAGUAUACAGUUAUAAUAGCGUCUGUUAUGUAUGGCAGGAGCACUGUGAGGUAGCAGGACACUCAAUGGAAGGCUUACAGUAUGUAACAUGUUAUCCCCAAGUCACACCACUAACAACCUGUCAGUAGUCUGCUAGUAAGGGGUUGUCGUAUUGACUCCUCAUGGUCCCGCGGGGAAUUAAACACAAAAUAUGUCUCAUUUAGCCCAAAGUGUUUGUUCCCAUUCAAUAUUUUAUCACUUUAAAUGAUUAUUUCCUUUUAAAAUAUGGAUUUUACGCAAACAUUUAUAUCUGUUCAGUAUUGUCACUGUCUGUGACAUGAGUGGUUCCCAUUUCUACAUUGGUUCCAUAUUGGAAUAAUCUGCCUUCUGUUUGUUUAGGAGGUUUCUCCAUUGUAUCGCUCUCCCCUUUAGAAGUGUCUCAUAACAGAGUGGUGUUUAUCAAUGGAAGUCUCUGGGCAUAUAUGUUCUGUACUGAUGUUCAGACAGUGUGAGCAGCACUGUGCUUGUGCCUUGAGAAUCAGAGGGUCAGCGAAAUAGGGACAGGGACGAUGUUAGUCCCUUAUACGGUAACAGUACCCCUCUCCUCUACCUGCUCUGUGUUGGAGGGGGAGGAGGGGUUGAGGAUCUAACAAAAAUCCAUCUUGCAGAAUGAAGUUAGUAAUGAGUUAGUAAUGAGUUAGUAAUGAGUUAGUAAUGAGUUAGUAAUGAGUUAGUAAAUGGCCACUUGACCAAAAAUCACCUACAGAAAAUGGAGCGUUUCACACCCGGACUGUCAUUCAACCUCUCAUACCAGGGAUUAGGAAAAUACUUGUUUGAUGAGCGUUGUCAUGACAGUAGUGUAGAAGGCAUAUGUGUUUAAUAGAUAUAGGCCAACAAAGUCUCUCACACACACACACACACACACACACUCUCACUCUCACACACUCACACACACUCACACACACCGAGAGGCUCUUUGAGUGACGUGCUGAUUUAACAGUCCUCUCGAUAGACACUCUUGUUGACCAGUAAAUGCAAUACUUUAACGUUAUGGUCUUUGUACCACCAAGUGUUCUUACAUCUCCUCCUGCCAGCUCCGAUACUGUGCAUAUACACCACCGAGUCAGCUGCACUAAUCUGUGGGGAAAUACUGACUCCAAGUCUGUCAUUUUCACCAUUGUCAAUAGACUAAACACCUUGCAACCAUGACAGUCAGAACCAGUGGAUAACACAUGGUGGACUCAUUGUCAAUAGACCAAACACCUUGCAACCAUGACAGUCAGAACCAGUGGAUAACACAUGGUGGACUCAUUGUCAAUAGACCAAACACCUUGCAACCAUGACAGUCAGAACCAGUGGAUAACACAUGGUGGACUCAUUGUCAAUAGACCAAACACCUUGCAACCAUGACAGUCAGAACCAGUGGAUAACACAUGGUGGACUCAUUGUAGGACUGAGUAGUUAAGGAGAACUCUGAACUGAGUCCAGAGGACUUCUAGACUUUAACCACAAACUGUUGCUGUUCACAAAGGGCUGAUUGACCAAACAGAGUCUGUUAAUAUAAGACGCUAGAGAAUUGCUCUGGAAUAGAUAUUUAGUUUGCGGUGUGUUAAGGAGCUCUCUGGAGAUUAUUGUGGCACCACUUGAAAUUCAUUACUCUUGAGGAGCGUAAGGUAUUACACAUUUCAACACCAAAAUAUUGCCGGACAGGUGUUUUAUCAACCAUGUUUUCAGUUUCAUGCUUUUGUUAUGACAUCUUUAAUUUAGGUAAAAAGCUGAAAUUACGACAAGGCAUGAACUUGGCAGACCUGGAGUGCUUGAUAUGUGUGUUCCAGUGAUAUAAGCAUGUUAACUGUAACUUUAUUCCUGUGUAAUGGUAUUCACCAGCAAUGCGCCUGCACAAACUCUCCCACACUUAAAAACAAAGAUGGAUACAAAGUAUGAUCCUAGACUGUUUGUAUUUCUCCAGUUAUAACUCCAUAUGACAACUACUGGACACAUGAAAGAACCGUUUCCAGAGAACUCGUACAACAUGUUUGAGAUGAAACGUAACAACAGAAGACAUAGCAGUUUGUAAAAUGAUCCGUAUGAUUCAUUGCUGAUUUUGAAGAAUCCUCUAAUCUGGUUGUGAAGAUGUUGAUUCAGGGUCUAUGUGUUCGUUCAAUGUGUUACUGUGUUACACUUCAAUAUUUACUAUUUGGUUUCCAUCAGUUCUCAACUUGUAUUCUCCUUUUUGGGCGUUCUGGUCGACUGUGUCCGUUCAAAGUUAAAUUCAUGCUGCAACUUAUAGAAUCAUCUGUUUAGAUCAUCUAAAUCAUAGACUCGUUAUAAUCUGAACUGUUACUGUUUUUAAUACUUGUACAUCUUUUUGUGGCUUUGUUUUUAUUUUAGCUUUUGUUGGUUUUAUGCCACACUAGUUUGCCAUGUAGCAAUUGCACUGUGCAAUAUUUCCAGUACGAGGACUGGGGAAAGGAAUGAUCUGGAUGUGAUGUCUCUUAACAGUUUGAUAGUGUUUCCUCUAGUUCUCAGUGAUUUAGGUGUGACCAAGCCUUUGCUACUUAGUCACGUUAAGCGGGUUUCCAGGUGACUCUUUUGGUGAGUGUCAAAAUAAGACUCUAUGGUGUAUUAUUGUCAAGAUUCACUUUGAAUUAAAAAAAAUAAUCUAUUGCUGCAAAUCCA
This is an RNA transcript of Oncorhynchus kisutch (coho salmon), 8377 nucleotides long. It is a transcript of the gene named homeodomain-interacting protein kinase 3-like, with no coding region annotated. The record is from RefSeq and is a predicted model, not a curated record. The transcript is spliced from 10 exons. Lineage: Eukaryota; Metazoa; Chordata; Actinopteri; Salmoniformes; Salmonidae.